UCUUCAUUUUACUUCAAUUAUCAGUCGAUCUGAUUGUUGACACCAAAGGCAUGAUGCCCAAUUCAGAUAGUUACUAAUGUUAGCUAUCCUACAUCGGUCUGUUACCGACAUGCCAUCACGUUUAUGGAUGGUUAUCUGACAGCUGUCAUCCAGCUCAGCUGUAACUAUCUUUUAGUUGUAUUCUGGCUUAUUUGCCACAUGGACAGCUGUCCCACAAUCUCUACACAGCUAGCCAUUUUGUUACAAC
RNAcentral lists this long non-coding RNA (247 nucleotides) under Elaeis guineensis (African oil palm). RNAcentral's name for it is "long non-coding RNA (EGUI_LNC051581)". The record is from RNAcentral. Lineage: Eukaryota; Viridiplantae; Streptophyta; Magnoliopsida; Arecales; Arecaceae.